CCUACGGGGGGCAGCAGUCGAGAAUCAUUCACAAUGGGGGAAACCCUGAUGGUGCGACGCCGCGUGGGGGAAUGAAGGUCUUCGGAUUGUAAACCCCUGUCAUGUGGGAGCAAAUUAAAAAGAUAGUACCACAAGAGGAAGAGACGGCUAACUCUGUGCCAGCAGCCGCGGUAAUACAGAGGUCUCAAGCGUUGUUCGGAAUCACUGGGCGUAAAGCGUGCGUAGGCUGUUUCGUAAGUCGUGUGUGAAAGGCGCGGGCUCAACCCGCGGACGGCACAUGAUACUGCGAGACUAGAGUAAUGGAGGGGGAACCGGAAUUCUCGGUGUAGCAGUGAAAUGCGUAGAUAUCGAGAGGAACACUCGUGGCGAAGGCGGGUUCCUAGACAUUAACUGACGCUGAGGCACGAAGGCCAGGGGAGCGAAAGGGAUUAGAUACCCUUGUAGUC
RNAcentral lists this ribosomal RNA (446 nucleotides) under uncultured bacterium. RNAcentral's name for it is "partial 16S ribosomal RNA". It matches the Rfam family "Bacterial small subunit ribosomal RNA", at positions 338 to 795 of the family's 1533-position model. The record is from RNAcentral.